RNAcentral lists this ribosomal RNA (393 nucleotides) under uncultured bacterium. RNAcentral describes it as "partial 16S ribosomal RNA". It matches the Rfam family "Bacterial small subunit ribosomal RNA", at positions 523 to 918 of the family's 1533-position model. The record is from RNAcentral.
AUACGGAAGGUCCGGGCGUUAUCCGGAUUUAUUGGGUUUAAAGGGAGCGCAGGCGGAGAUGCAAGCGUGACGUCAAAUUUCGGGGCUCAACCCCGUCUCGCGUCGCGAACUGCGUCCCUUGGUUGCGGGAAGGGGAGGCGGAACUCGUGGGGUAGCGGUGAAAUGCAUAGAUAUCACGAAGAACUCCGAUCGCGAAGGCAGCCUUCCGGCCCGUCAACGACGCUCAUGCUCGAAGGUGCGGGUAUCAAACAGGAUUAGAUACCCUGGUAGUCCGCGCAGUAAACGAUGGACACCCGCGGUUUGGCCUGUAUGGCUGAGCCGCCAAGCGAAAGCGUUAAGUGUCCCACCUGGGGAGUACGCCGGCAACGGUGAAACUCAAAGGAAUUGACGGGG